AAGUCGUAACAAGGUUUCCGUAGGUGAACCUGCGGAAGGAUCAUUAAUGAAAUGAUGGUUUUUUGGGGUUUUCCCUGAAAAAUAAUUCACCACUUGUGCAUUGUUAUUAGAUAUACUUUGGUUAGAGCUUUGAUUUCAUUUAUUGGAAUCAACUUCUUGCCGACUCUAUCCUGUUAAGGACAGUUGGCUAUGAAGCGGCCUACCAAGGAUUUUAUCAAACACUUGUAUUUUGUCUGACCUAAAAUCAAAUAAUUAAAUCAUAACUUUCAACAACGGAUCUCUUGGCUCUC
RNAcentral lists this unclassified non-coding RNA (290 nucleotides) under fungal sp. RNAcentral's name for it is "partial internal transcribed spacer region". The stretch from base 1 to 46 matches the Rfam family "Eukaryotic small subunit ribosomal RNA", at positions 1786 to 1831 of the family's 1831-position model. The record is from RNAcentral. Lineage: Eukaryota; Fungi.